Leptonychotes weddellii (Weddell seal) is the source of this 462-nucleotide non-coding RNA. Lineage: Eukaryota; Metazoa; Chordata; Mammalia; Carnivora; Phocidae. The record is from RefSeq and is a predicted model, not a curated record.
AUGAGCAGCAAAGUCUCCCGGGACACCCUCUACGAGGCGGUGGGGGAAGUCCUGCAUGGGAACCAGAAACUCAACAAGAAUAAGAAAUUAGUCAAGAAGCUGGCCAAGAAGUAUGAUGCCUUUUUGGCUUCAGAAUCUCUGAUCAAGCAGAUCCCACGAAUCCUGGGCCCAAGCCUGAAUAAGGCUGGCAAGUUCCCUUCCUUGCUGACCCACAAUGAGAACAUGGUGGCCAAAGUGGAUGAAGUGAAGUCCACCAUCAAAUUCCAGAUGAAGAAGGUGCUGUGUCUGGCAGAGACUGUUGGCCGUGUGAAGAUGACAGAUGACCAGCUUGUGUACAACAUCCACUUAGCAGUCAAUUUCCUGGUGUCCUUGCUCAAAAAGAACUGGCAGAAUGUCCGGGCUUUCUACAUCAAGAGCACCAUGGGCAAGCCCCAGUGCCUGUACAAAGGCACAGCUCAAUAA